GAUGAACGCUGGCGGCGUGCCUAAUACAUGCAAGUCGAGCGAACGGACGAGAAGCUUGCUUCUCUGAUGUUAGCGGCGGACGGGUGAGUAACACGUGGAUAACCUACCUAUAAGACUGGGAUAACUUCGGGAAACCGUAGCUAAUACCGGAUAAUAUUUUGAACCGCAUGGUUCAAAGGUGAAAGACGGUCUUGCUGUCACUUAUAGAUGGAUCCGCGCUGCAUUAGCUAGUUGGUAAGGUAACGGCUUACCAAGGCAACGAUGCAUAGCCGACCUGAGAGGGUGAUCGGCCACACUGGAACUGAGACACGGUCCAGACUCCUACGGGAGGCAGCAGUAGGGAAUCUUCCGCAAUGGGCGAAAGCCUGACGGAGCAACGCCGCGUGAGUGAUGAAGGUCUUCGGAUCGUAAAACUCUGUUAUUAGGGAAGAACAUAUGUGUAAGUAACUGUGCACAUCUUGACGGUACCUAAUCAGAAAGCCACGGCUAACUACGU
This 496-nucleotide ribosomal RNA is filed under the name uncultured bacterium. RNAcentral describes it as "partial 16S ribosomal RNA". It matches the Rfam family "Bacterial small subunit ribosomal RNA", at positions 28 to 506 of the family's 1533-position model. The record is from RNAcentral.